Molecule: long non-coding RNA, 343 nt
Filed under: Solanum tuberosum (potato)
Lineage: Eukaryota; Viridiplantae; Streptophyta; Magnoliopsida; Solanales; Solanaceae
Description: long non-coding RNA (STUB_LNC007723)
Source: RNAcentral
AAAUAUACACGUUACUUUUCCUUCUUCUACUAGAAAAUAGGAUUCUGAGUUCUAGUUAAAUUGGGCACUGGAGGGACCACAUAAUUUAUUACUGAGGCUUCCUAUUAUGGAAAUAAUUCCAAAUAAUUAAUUUGAAUUAUUCUUACCAUAAUAAAUUACAAAUCAUUCCACUAAAAAUUCGUAAUUGCACUCCUCUAUUUAUAUUUCGAAAUUCACCAUUAAACACUUAUGUAAUUCCCCAUGUUAAGAUUCCAGAUACUAAUCAAUAAAUUAAAUUACUGACGAAUUUAAUUCAAUGAUUAAUUUCCUUUAGAGCAACACUUAACUUAUUUCAUGUGCCAGA